RNAcentral lists this long non-coding RNA (867 nucleotides) under Setaria italica (foxtail millet). RNAcentral describes it as "long non-coding RNA (SITA_LNC003822)". The record is from RNAcentral. Lineage: Eukaryota; Viridiplantae; Streptophyta; Magnoliopsida; Poales; Poaceae.
CUAGUUGGGUUGGCGCCCCAAGGCGAUCAGCGGGGCGCAGGGGAGGAGGAUGCAGUCGUCGUCGCAGGCGAGGUCGUCGUCGUACUACGCCGUGCUCGGCGUCCACCCGGGCGCCUCCGCCACCGAGAUACGAAGCGCCUACCACCGCCUGGCCAUGGUGAGUACAACUGCUCCUCCGGUCGAUCGGGUUCCUUCCGGAUCGGAUCGGAUCGCUCUGGUUUGGUUUUGUUUGCACCGGCGAGCUUGACAAGAAAAGAAACAGAGCAUGACUUGCUUGGUUUCUGCCGGCGAUGCAUGCAGAGGUGGCACCCGGACAAGAUCGCCAGCGGCCGCGCGGCGGACCCGGCGCGCGCGGAGGAGGCCAAGGCCAUGUUCCAGCAGAUACACGAGGCCUACCAAGGUAAACCAUUCGAAUCCAUCUCUUCCUUCAUGGUUCACCAUGCCUCUGUCUCUGGUCGCGAUGCAUUGGACGCUGUUGCUAACAUGAACACCUUUUUCGGCUGUGUCGCGUCUGCAGUGCUGUCGGACGAGAAGAGGAGGGCGCUCUACGACGCCGGGAUGUACCACCCGCUCGACGACGACCAGGAGGACGUGGAGGUGAGCAAGAUCCGCCCAAUUGCCAUUGCUCUUUCUUCCCCUGCUGCUGCACCUGCCCUGCAGGUUAAUCUGACCAUGUGCUCCGUGUGUUCCAGGGAUUCCAUGACUUCCUUCAGGAGAUGAUCUCGCUCAUGGCCACCGUGGGGAGGGAGGUAAGCUACCUCGUACUCAUGCCAUUGCACCUCGCAUUAAUCGGCCAAGCUGCCAACAUUCCUGCAGCAUCGAAUGAAUGAAUCAUAACUGACGGAUCGCUUCUUUUUCCGCUCGUGC